UACGUAGGUGGCAAGCGUUGUCCGGAAUUAUUGGGCGUAAAGAGCUCGUAGGCGGUUCAGUAAGUCGGGUGUGAAAGCUCCAAGCUCAACUUGGAGACGCCAUCCGAUACUGCUGUGACUUGAGUACAGUAGGGGAGCGCGGAAUUCCUGGUGUAGCGGUGAAAUGCGCAGAUAUCAGGAGGAACACCAGCGGCGAAGGCGGCGCUCUGGGCUGUAACUGACGCUGAGGAGCGAAAGUGUGGGUAGCAAACAGGAUUA
RNAcentral lists this ribosomal RNA (258 nucleotides) under uncultured prokaryote. RNAcentral describes it as "partial 16S ribosomal RNA". It matches the Rfam family "Bacterial small subunit ribosomal RNA", at positions 524 to 780 of the family's 1533-position model. The record is from RNAcentral.